UGACGUAUGGCGUAGUGGUCAAAGCACUUGACCGGUUUCCAAGAGGCGCGUGUUCACAUCUCGGUACGUUAA
This 72-nucleotide transfer RNA is filed under the name Heliconius melpomene (postman butterfly). RNAcentral describes it as "tRNA HMEL015550". It matches the Rfam family "tRNA". Rfam says of the family: Transfer RNA (tRNA) molecules are approximately 80 nucleotides in length. Their secondary structure includes four short double-helical elements and three loops (D, anti-codon, and T loops). Further hydrogen bonds mediate the characteristic L-shaped molecular structure. tRNAs have two regions of fundamental functional importance: the anti-codon, which is responsible for specific mRNA codon recognition, and the 3' end, to which the tRNAs corresponding amino acid is attached (by aminoacyl-tRNA synthetases). tRNAs cope with the degeneracy of the genetic code in two manners: having more than one tRNA (with a specific anti-codon) for a particular amino acid; and 'wobble' base-pairing, i.e. permitting non-standard base-pairing at the 3rd anti-codon position. The record is from RNAcentral. Lineage: Eukaryota; Metazoa; Arthropoda; Insecta; Lepidoptera; Nymphalidae.